This 498-nucleotide ribosomal RNA is filed under the name uncultured Gemmatimonadota bacterium. RNAcentral describes it as "bacterial SSU rRNA". It matches the Rfam family "Bacterial small subunit ribosomal RNA", at positions 355 to 852 of the family's 1533-position model. Lineage: Bacteria; Pseudomonadati; Gemmatimonadota. The record is from RNAcentral.
UGGGGAAUAUUGCGCAAUGGCCGAAAGGCUGACGCAGCGACGCCGCGUGGGGGAUGAAGCAUUUCGGUGUGUAAACCCCUGUUGCCCGGGACGAACAACUGGUUUCGACCAGUCUGACGGUACCGGGUGAGGAAGCACCGGCUAACUCCGUGCCAGCAGCCGCGGUAAUACGGAGGGUGCGAGCGUUGUCCGGAAUCACUGGGCGUAAAGGGCGCGUAGGCGGUCUGCUAAGCGUGCGGUGAAAGCCUGGGGCUCAACCCCAGGUCUGCCGUGCGAACUGGUGGACUCGAGCACUGUAGAGGCAGGUGGAAUUCCGGGUGUAGCGGUGGAAUGCGUAGAGAUCCGGAAGAACACCGGUGGCGAAGGCGGCCUGCUGGGCAGUUGCUGACGCUGAUGCGCGACAGCGUGGGGAGCAAACAGGAUUAGAUACCCUGGUAGUCCACGCCGUAAACGAUGGGCACUAGGUGCUUGGGGGAGCGACCCCCCGAGUGCCGGCGC